This 171-nucleotide non-coding RNA is filed under the name Bacteroides faecis. The record is from RNAcentral. Lineage: Bacteria; Pseudomonadati; Bacteroidota; Bacteroidia; Bacteroidales; Bacteroidaceae.
UAAUGGUUCCUGAAAAGAUUAUUUCGUUCAGGAUGAAAAGGGAAUCCGGUGAGAAUCCGGAACAGUACCCGCUGCUGUAAGUCCCCCUUAAUGAUUAUCGUAUUUUUGCCACUGGUGUAGACACUGGGAAGGCGCGAUAAUUGGGACGAGUCAGAAGACCUGCCAUAACUA